Molecule: transfer RNA, 91 nt
Organism: Talaromyces stipitatus ATCC 10500
Lineage: Eukaryota; Fungi; Ascomycota; Eurotiomycetes; Eurotiales; Trichocomaceae
Rfam family: tRNA
About the family: Transfer RNA (tRNA) molecules are approximately 80 nucleotides in length. Their secondary structure includes four short double-helical elements and three loops (D, anti-codon, and T loops).
Source: Rfam
UCCGAUAUGGUGUAACGGUAACAUAAGCCGCUUUCAUCUGAGUUCCUCUGAUACAACCGGCUAGCCCCGGGUUCGAUUCCCGGUAUCGGAA